Molecule: ribosomal RNA, 497 nt
Filed under: uncultured bacterium
Lineage: Bacteria
Description: partial 16S ribosomal RNA
Rfam family: Bacterial small subunit ribosomal RNA
Source: RNAcentral
GACGAACGCUGGCGGCGUGCCUAAUACAUGCAAGUAGAACGCUGAAGAGAGGAGCUUGCUCUUCCUGGAUGAGUUGCGAACGGGUGAGUAACGCGUAGGUAACCUGCCUGGUAGCGGGGGAUAACUAUUGGAAACGAUAGCUAAUACCGCAUAAAAUUGAUUAUUGCAUGAUAAUUAAUUGAAAGAUGCAACUGCAUCACUACCAGAUGGACCUGCGUUGUAUUAGCUAGUUGGUGAGGUAACGGCUCACCAAGGCGACGAUACAUAGCCGACCUGAGAGGGUGAUCGGCCACACUGGGACUGAGACACGGCCCAGACUCCUACGGGAGGCAGCAGUAGGGAAUCUUCGGCAAUGGGGGGAACCCUGACCGAGCAACGCCGCGUGAGUGAAGAAGGUUUUCGGAUCGUAAAGCUCUGUUGUAAGAGAAGAACGGGUGUGAGAGUGGAAAGUUCACACUGUGACGGUAUCUUACCAGAAAGGGACGGCUAACUACGUG